This 253-nucleotide ribosomal RNA is filed under the name uncultured bacterium. RNAcentral's name for it is "partial 16S ribosomal RNA". It matches the Rfam family "Bacterial small subunit ribosomal RNA", at positions 524 to 776 of the family's 1533-position model. The record is from RNAcentral.
UACGAAGGGGGCUAGCGUUGCUCGGAAUCACUGGGCGUAAAGCGCACGUAGGCGGAUUGCUAAGUCAGGGGUGAAAUCCUGGAGCUCAACUCCAGAACUGCCUUUGAUACUGAAGAUCUUGAGUUCGGGAGAGGUGAGUGGAACUGCGAGUGUAGAGGUGAAAUUCGUAGAUAUUCGCAAGAACACCAAUUGCGAAGGCAGCUCGCUGGGACGUUACUGACGCUGAGACGCGAAAGCGUGGGGAGCAAACAGG